RNAcentral lists this ribosomal RNA (115 nucleotides) under Danio rerio (zebrafish). The record is from RNAcentral. Lineage: Eukaryota; Metazoa; Chordata; Actinopteri; Cypriniformes; Danionidae.
UGCAGUAAGGAUAACAACAGUUUGUUUAUUAUUAAUUAUUAUUAAGCUAAGCAGGGCUGCGCCUGGUCAGUCCCUGGAUGGGAGACCACAUGGUAAAGCUAGGUUGCUGCUGGAA